This is a long non-coding RNA of Sceloporus undulatus (fence lizard), 1824 nucleotides long. RefSeq lists it as uncharacterized. The transcript has 2 exons. The record is from RefSeq and is a predicted model, not a curated record. Lineage: Eukaryota; Metazoa; Chordata; Lepidosauria; Squamata; Phrynosomatidae.
GGCAUUUGAGCAGAAGGAACACCACUCACUGCACAUGGAGGUAGUACGUACUUCCACACACAAGCUUAGAGAAAGUAUGAGUGCCAGUGCAGUGGUGCAAUGCCCUAAGAAAUGAUUCCCAAAGUGGGAAGUACUACCCCCUCCCCAGGGUGAUGGAAAGAUCCAGGGAGGGGGCAGAGAGGGUAAAGGGGGCAGUGUCCUGGGAAAGUGGCCAAGUAUGCUGAUAGCAACACACUCAGAGUUAGAUUAUGUUCCAAAGUCAAAUAAAACAGCAAAGGUCUGUGCAAACAGUUCUCAAGCAAGAGCCCAAAUGCACAAACCCAAGGGCACAGCCAAAGAGAGAAGUCAACAAUUCAAAGUCCAGGGUUUUAGAAAGCGUCGAGAUGAGUAAGCAAAUCCAAAGGUCAAGAAGUCCAGAAAGACACAGCAACUAGCAAUCCAAGGAGCAAGGUUUCCAGCCAAGAAAAUAAGGUCAGGAUCAAACGUGGUUUCGCAGGGAAGCUCCGAUAAUCUCUGACACCAAGGUACUGUUUCAGCCUCUGACAUAGCUGCAUUCAUUGUCAUGAUAUAUUUCUUCAUCUCUGAAGUCAUUGUUACUGGUGAAAGUAGAAAACCAAAAAAUAUGCAGAUGAAUUGUCUUACCAGAUAUCCAGGUGGGGGAAGGAUCAGAGAAAAAGCUUCUUUCUUGACACCAAACUGCUAUUCCAAGAAAAGACAACUUUUUAUUAGUCCAGACGUUUUUUAAAAGGGAGUGGGAUCAAUUUGUGUACCCUCAAAACAUAGCAAAAAUCUAUCUAAAUGAAAAAGCAUUUGCCUGCCAGGGGCAGUAGAGGAGGAUAAGGGCCAGUCUACUAUGGGACAGAGUUCACAGAUUAGGAGCAGCCACUGAGAUGUGUCCUCAUUGGAUGUGUCUGUGAUAGUUGUGGGACCAAGAGACCCAUGUUACCUAAAUUGCAAGGACCCUGUUAUUUAACAACACUAUGUUCCUUUGAUGACAGCACUCUGGGCCUUUUUAUCCUACUGAUGCCACCAAUUUGUCAAGAUCACUUUUUUCUUUACCACUAAGGUGUUGUACAGACAGAGUGUCUGUCUGACAUCAAAACAAGACCAAAUUGGCAGUGCCUAUGCAGGCAUAUUUAAAGGGCAAAAUGUGUCCUGUGACAGAUUCUGGGAUUAAAAUGAAGUCUCCAGGAGAGAAGAAUAAGAAGGGAACUUGUAAAUGGCUGGACAAUCAGUGCAAAUGUCUCUGGAGUAUCUUUUCCAGAGGGAAAUGUAUUUGGGUUUCUGUUCUUGUGUAAUCGCAAGAUCUGUCAUCCACCAUUACUCAUCUUGGGGUAACAAGAAUCUUAAAAUUCACACAGGCUCAUGUAGAGAGAUAUGAUUUUUCAGACAGCUGGGACUCAAACAAUAUAGGGCUUUAUAGAUCAUAACCAUAACUUUCAUUUUUGCCCAGCAUGUGAGUGUCAUCAGUGAUUCUGCCCUUGACUGGAGGACUUUUGUUUCCAGCAAUGAUGGCUACCUACAUGCCUGACAUGUGGAUUUUUUCUGAGUGAGGUGUUAUUCUGCUCCAAUGUGAGCUGUCUAUUGUAACUGAAAAGAGAAAUAUAACAAGGAAUAAGGGGGAAAGUAUACUAAAAUAUUUGUGCUUGGACCAAUUAUCAUAUUUGGAAAUGACCAACAAAUGUCUGAACACACUCUGAAAACCCCUGUACAGCACAAAAGGCAUAUUCAUGAUUUGCUUUAUUAUCAUUUCUGUUGUUAAUAUGUGACUGUUCUUGCAUUUAAGUAAUUAUGAGUAAGUAAAUUAUGAGUACAUUACUCACA